Molecule: transfer RNA, 77 nt
Filed under: Bacillota bacterium
Lineage: Bacteria; Bacillati; Bacillota
Description: Firmicutes bacterium (anaerobic digester metagenome) tRNA-Gln
Rfam family: tRNA
About the family: Transfer RNA (tRNA) molecules are approximately 80 nucleotides in length.
Source: RNAcentral
UGGGGCGUAGCCAAGUUGGGUAAGGCACAGGACUUUGACUCCUGCAUUCCCUGGUUCGAGUCCAGGCGCCCCAGCCA